Molecule: ribosomal RNA, 506 nt
Filed under: uncultured fungus
Lineage: Eukaryota; Fungi
Description: SSU rRNA
Rfam family: Eukaryotic small subunit ribosomal RNA
Source: RNAcentral
GAUUCAUAAUAACUAAACGAAUCGCAUGGCCUUUGCGCCGGCGAUGGUUCAUUCAAAUUUCUGCCCUAUCAACUUUCGAUUGUAGGAUAGAGGCCUACAAUGGUUUCAACGGGUAACGGAGAAUUAGGGUUCGGUUCCGGAGAGGGAGCCUGAGAAACGGCUACCACAUCCAAGGAAGGCAGCAGGCGCGCAAAUUACCCAAUCCCGACACGGGGAGGUAGUGACAAUAAAUACUGAUACAGGGCUCUUUUGGGUCUUGUAAUUGGAAUGAGUACAAUUUAAAUCCCUUAACGAGGAACAAUUGGAGGGCAAGUCGGGUGCCAGCAGCCGCGGUAAUUCCAGCUCCAAUAGCGUAUAUUAAAGUUGUUGCAGUUAAAAAGCUCGUAGUUGAACCUUGGGUCUGGCUGGCCGGUCCGCCUCACCGCGUGCACUGGUCCGGCCGGACCUUUCCUCUUGGGGAUCCACAUGCCCUUUGCUGGGUGUGUUUGGGGAACCAGGACUUUUAC